CCUUUAUUAAACGCCGUCCUGUGGGCACGACUACCUGUUACGCGGCUUGAACGUACUUUUAAGUACUGAAGACCAAGAUGGGAGACAUCUACAACGGUCUCUUUAAGAGCCAUAGAGGUCAUAAACACUACAGUUGUUUAGCCAGAGGAAAUUUCUUACAAUAACCGUGAACCUUCAUGGGUUAUUUAGUGAGGUGUUUUGUUCUUUCACGUCCCUCAACGGCCCACUGUGAAACCAUUUAGAACGAUGGUAAGACAGAGAGUUGAGAAAGACCCGCUCAAGACUUUCUUUAGGUAGAAAAAUUUCACCUUACCCGUAAGACGGGGGCGUGUACCUACGGCAGCUCAAGCGCCGUUCCUCGAUACCGUUCGUCGUCGUUACCAAAAUUCGUCUCCGUCGCCCGUCGUCGUCGUCACCCGUCUUCGCUUACAUCUUGUUCUGGGGUGCCGACCCUCUAGAGGCCCACGUCUCACGUCUGAUACAACUGUUUCAUGAUUAGUUCUUAACGUUCUACGUCUUGUCCUUCCUACUACGCCACCUCUUCCGUCUGCCGCGGAACCUGCUCAGACACGCACGCGACCCGCGUCACCGCUGUUUCUCGUUUCGUCUUCCUCCGCAACACCGAGGGGCUAGAGAUCCGCACGCACUCACAUUCUACCUGUACUUCCUUCUUGACGAUAAACACUACGACCAGACGACUCCUACUAUGGAUGAACGUCACUACGAAUGUGUGACUUUAAUGAUCGAUGUUAAAUAGUACUCCGUUAAAAAACAACACACACGCGAUGACGACGAAUAUCCCUUAUCUCUUAUCUCUUUUCUCUAUUACAACGUCUAAUAUAUAGUUAC
Molecule: ribosomal RNA, 849 nt
Filed under: Triticum aestivum (bread wheat)
Lineage: Eukaryota; Viridiplantae; Streptophyta; Magnoliopsida; Poales; Poaceae
Description: partial small subunit ribosomal RNA
Source: RNAcentral